AUUUAAAUAAGUAAUUAGUUUAAAUUUUAUAUUUGAAAAGCCAUCAAAUUAACAUGCCUUGGGCUACAAUGGAAGCUCCUGGAUACGCCAACAGACUCACCGUAUGCACAAAAAGUACCUCGCACACACGAAAUGUCAACCACUUGUUAACGGCAAGUCUUAUGAGUUCACAACUAAAUAAAUUCUAGGAGUCCAUAACUAACGAGUAUCAGAGUAUAGAAUAACUGAAACAUAGGAUGUGUUUGGUUCAAAGUCAAAAUCGAAAACGGAAUCGGAAUUAGAAUCAAAGUAACUCGGAAUCGGAAUCGGAAUGACUCAUUACCUAAUUCUGUUCAAUUCGUCACCUGAAUCGAAAUCGGAAUAAAUCAUUUCUCUUGUCGGUGUUUGGUUCAAGUAGAUAUAAAAAAUGUAAUCAAAUUAAUAUACUAACUUUAUCUUUAUAAUAUAUUAAUUUAAAUUCAAAUUAAAAAUUAAAUAUUAAAAAUUUACAUCAAAAUUUUAAAAUAAUGUCAAAAUUUUAAAUCUAUUUUUUUAAAAAAAUUAAACUUUGAAGUUGAGUGAAAAAUUCAAAAUAUAAAACUAAAUUUUGAUUUAUUCAAAUUCAAACUUAAAAUUACAAUUUAAAUUUUAAUUUAAAUUCAUAAAUUUAAUUUAAGUUUUAAAUAAAUUUGAAUAAAACUUUAUAUAAAUUAAAAUUUAAUUUAAAUUCAAAUUCAUAAGUUGGAUUCGAAAUACUUGAUUAAAUUUUAAUUUUUAAUUCAAAUUCAAAUUAAAAUUUAAAAUUAUAAAUUUAAUUUCUAAAUUUAAACUCAUAUUUUAAUUAAAAAUUUUAAAAAAUAAAUUUAAUCCGAAUAAAUAUCCAUUUUGUGUAGUAUCCUUGUUUUUUUCUUUUGAGUUGGUAAAAGGGUAGGUUUGACUUUUGAGUUGUGGAUA
Molecule: long non-coding RNA, 933 nt
Filed under: Ananas comosus (pineapple)
Lineage: Eukaryota; Viridiplantae; Streptophyta; Magnoliopsida; Poales; Bromeliaceae
Description: long non-coding RNA (ACOM_LNC008611)
Source: RNAcentral